This 468-nucleotide ribosomal RNA is filed under the name uncultured bacterium. RNAcentral describes it as "partial 16S ribosomal RNA". It matches the Rfam family "Bacterial small subunit ribosomal RNA", at positions 28 to 507 of the family's 1533-position model. The record is from RNAcentral.
GACGAACGCUGGCGGUGUGCUUAACACAUGCAAGUCGAACGGUAAGGCCCUUUCGGGGGUACACGGGUGGCGAACGGGUUAGUAACACGUGCUUAACCUGCCCUCAUCUCUGGGAUAACAGUCGUAAUCGGUUGCUAUUUCUUCAUAUGAGCUUGCUAGGCCUCUUGUGUGUUGGAAAGAUUUUUUUUGUUUGGGGAUGGACUCGCGGCCUAUCAGCUUGUUGGUGAGGUCUUGGCUCACAAAGGAUUCGACGGGUCGCCGGCAGGAGAGCGGGACCGGCGACAUGGGGAAUGGGAAACGAGACAAAGUCCUACGGGAGGCAGCAGGGGGGAAUAUUGCACAAUGGACGGAAGUCGGAUGCAGGAACGACGAGUGCGGGAUGACGGACGUCGGGUUGUAAGCCGCUAUCAAUUGUGACGAAGGUUGAUAGUGACGGUAGCAGUAGAAGAAGCACCGGCUAACUACGUG